RNAcentral lists this small RNA (28 nucleotides) under Bombyx mori (domestic silkworm). Its description in RNAcentral is "ovarian small RNA-18728". Lineage: Eukaryota; Metazoa; Arthropoda; Insecta; Lepidoptera; Bombycidae. The record is from RNAcentral.
UAACCAUGGGUCGGUCCCCUGGGACGGC